AGAACUUUGAAGACUGAAGUGGAGAAAGGUUCCAUGUGAACAGCACUUGGACAUGGGUGAGUCGGUCCUAAGCGAUGAGCUAAUGCUGUAUGAAGGCCGCGCUCUGCGGCGUCCAGCGAAAGGGAAUCGGGUUAAAAUUCCCGAACUGGGACUAGGCUGCGGGCGGCGACGCAACCGAGCCGGGCGACGCCGGCGGGAGGUCCGGGAAGAGUUGUCUUUUCUUUUUAACAUGCAUGC
Molecule: ribosomal RNA, 237 nt
Filed under: Proboscia inermis
Lineage: Eukaryota; Bacillariophyta; Melosirophyceae; Probosciales; Probosciaceae
Description: partial Eukaryotic large subunit ribosomal RNA
Rfam family: Eukaryotic large subunit ribosomal RNA
Source: RNAcentral